GAUGAAGAACGCAGCGAAAUGCGAUAACUAAUGUGAAUUGCAGAAUUCAGUGAACCAUCGAAUCUUUGAACGCACAUUGCGCCCGCUGGAACUCCGGCGGGCACGCCUGUCCGAGCGUCAUUUCAACCCUCAGGCCCCCCUUCGCGGGCGGGCCUGGUGUUGGGGCCCGGCCGCUACCCUGCGGCCGUCCCCUAAAUUCAGUGGCGGCCUCGCCGUGAUCCCUUGCGUAGUAAUGCACCUCGCACCGGAGAGCGCCGUGGCCACGCCGUAAAACCCCCAAUUUUCAAUGGUUGACCUCGGAUCAGGUGGGAAUACCCGCUGAACUUAAGCAUAUCAAUAAGCGGAGGA
Molecule: unclassified non-coding RNA, 348 nt
Filed under: soil metagenome
Description: partial contains 5.8S ribosomal RNA, internal transcribed spacer 2, and large subunit ribosomal RNA
Rfam family: 5.8S ribosomal RNA (bases 1-120)
Source: RNAcentral